CCUACGGGUGGCAGCAGUGAGGAAUAUUGGUCAAUGGGCGUAAGCCUGAACCAGCCAAGUCGCGUGAGGGAUGAAGGUUCUACGGAUCGUAAACCUCUUUUAUAAGGGAAUAAAGUGUGGGACGUGUCCUCUUUUAUAUGUACCUUAUGAAUAAGGAUCGGCUAACUCCGUGCCAGCAGCCGCGGUAAUACGGAGGAUCCGAGCGUUAUCCGGAUUUAUUGGGUUUAAAGGGUGCGUAGGCGGCCUUUUAAGUCAGCGGUGAAAGUCUGUGGCUCAACCCGAGAAGUGCAGUUGAAACUGGCGGGCUUGAGUAUGGUUGAGGCAGGCGGAAUGCGUGGUGUAGCGGUGAAAUGCUUAGAUAUCACGCAGAACCCCGAUUGCGAAGGCAGCCUGCCAAGCCAAGACUGACGCUGAUGCACGAAAGCGUGGGUAUCAAACAGGAUUAGAUACCCCUGUAGUC
RNAcentral lists this ribosomal RNA (460 nucleotides) under uncultured bacterium. RNAcentral's name for it is "partial 16S ribosomal RNA". It matches the Rfam family "Bacterial small subunit ribosomal RNA", at positions 338 to 795 of the family's 1533-position model. The record is from RNAcentral.